RNAcentral lists this ribosomal RNA (253 nucleotides) under uncultured bacterium. RNAcentral's name for it is "partial 16S ribosomal RNA". It matches the Rfam family "Bacterial small subunit ribosomal RNA", at positions 524 to 776 of the family's 1533-position model. The record is from RNAcentral.
UACGUAGGGUGCAAGCGUUGUCCGGAAUUAUUGGGCGUAAAGAGCUCGUAGGCGGUCUGUCGCGUCUGCUGUGAAAACCUGGGGCUUAACCCCGGGCCUGCAGUGGGUACGGGCAGACUAGAGUGCGGUAGGGGAGACUGGAAUUCCUGGUGUAGCGGUGAAAUGCGCAGAUAUCGUAAGGAAGGCCGGUGGCGAAAGCGAGCCUCUGGACAGUUACUGACGCUGAUGCACGAAGGCCAGGGGAGCAAACGGG